UGGGGAAUAUUGGACAAUGGGCGCAAGCCUGAUCCAGCCAUGCCGCGUGAACGAUGAAGGCCUUAGGGUUGUAAAGUUCUUUUGUCAGGGAAGAUAAUGACGGUACCUGAAGAAUAAGCACCGGCUAACUUCGUGCCAGCAGCCGCGGUAAUACGAAGGGUGCUAGCGUUGUUCGGAAUCACUGGGCGUAAAGCGCGCGUAGGCGGCGAUAUAAGUCAGAGGUGAAAGCCUGGAGCUCAACUCCAGAACUGCCUUUGAAACUAGGUCGCUAGAAUCACGGAGAGGUGAGUGGAAUUCCGAGUGUAGAGGUGAAAUUCGUAGAUAUUGGGAAGAACACCAGUGGCGAAGGCGGCUAACUGGUCCGGUACUGACGCUGAGGUGCGAAAGCGUGGGGAGCAAACAGGAUUAGAUACCCAAGUAGUCCCUGAGCGGGCUGGCAAGGCGCAU
RNAcentral lists this ribosomal RNA (447 nucleotides) under uncultured bacterium. RNAcentral describes it as "bacterial SSU rRNA". It matches the Rfam family "Bacterial small subunit ribosomal RNA", at positions 355 to 825 of the family's 1533-position model. The record is from RNAcentral.